RNAcentral lists this ribosomal RNA (305 nucleotides) under uncultured bacterium. Its description in RNAcentral is "bacterial SSU rRNA". It matches the Rfam family "Bacterial small subunit ribosomal RNA", at positions 333 to 656 of the family's 1533-position model. The record is from RNAcentral.
GGGUGCCUAGGGGCGCAGCAGUGGGGAAUAUUGCACAAUGGGGGAAACCCUGAUGCAGCAACGCCGCGUGAGUGAUGACGGCCUUCGGGUUGUAAAGCUCUGUCUUCAGGGACGAUAAUGACGGUACCUGAGGAGGAAGCCACGGCUAACUACGUGCCAGCAGCCGCGGUAAUAUGUAGGUGGCGAGCGUUGUCCGGAUUUACUGGGCGUAAAGGGAGCGUAGGCGGACUUUUAAGUGAGAUGUGAAAUACUCGGGCUCAACUUGAGUGCUGCAUUUCAAACUGGAAGUCUAGAGUGCAGGAGAG